Long non-coding RNA from Chenopodium quinoa (quinoa), 598 nucleotides. RefSeq lists it as uncharacterized. The transcript is spliced from 3 exons. NCBI's taxonomy places the organism in Eukaryota, Viridiplantae, Streptophyta, Magnoliopsida, Caryophyllales, Amaranthaceae. The record is from RefSeq and is a predicted model, not a curated record.
CAAAGAGAACCGGUGGGUAAAAUACUAAACCCACCGGUUCAAACCGGUGGCUUUACUAUUUUUUUUUUUUAAAAAAACCGCCCCAUAAAUACCCAAAUAAACCCUACUCUUCUCAGCCGCUCUACUUCUCUUUCUCUCUCCUUCUCUCUCUUCUCUGUUCGUCUCCUUCUUUCUCUUUCGAUCUCAUCUCCUUCUUUUUCUUUCGAUCUCUUCUCCUUCGUUCUCAUCUCCUUCUCUCUCUUUUUCUCUUUCGUUCUUCCCCGAUGCUUGUCCAAUUAAUUGAAUACCACCUUCGAUCUCAUCCCCUUCUUGUUCGAUCUACAUCAACAUCAACAACAGUUUCUGGUUAUUUUUCGAGGUGAUUUCUGGGUUGUUUUAUUUUUAAAUUGCUUUCGAUCUCAUCUCCUAUUGAAGAUGAUGAAGAUUUUGAAGGUGGCUGUCGGAAGAUGUUAUCUAUACGCAAGGCUGCUGCUGCAGUUGCUGCCUUGCCAGGUGUUAUAUUGGUGAUUUGGUGUGACUUGUAUUUAACAGUGACUUGUAUUUUUUUUUUGGACCAAACUUGUAAUAUUACAACCUUUUUUUAAUGAAAAUAUGUAAG